Drosophila nasuta is the source of this 797-nucleotide long non-coding RNA. RefSeq lists it as uncharacterized. The transcript has 3 exons. NCBI's taxonomy places the organism in Eukaryota, Metazoa, Arthropoda, Insecta, Diptera, Drosophilidae. The record is from RefSeq and is a predicted model, not a curated record.
GACAAGACGUGUCCACGCAUAGUAAUUUUUCGCGCGCUUAUCCGUUGAUCUCAGUUUUUGUAAACAAAUAAGUCUCAAAGAAGAAACAAAAAAGUGCCGUUACCCGAUAAGCGUUUGUUACUCGCUACGAUGCGGAGAGAUAACGCUCCAGACAAAAACAAAUUUGAGCACAGAUUUGUUGUUGUUAAACGACUAGAUGACAACUCAAAGUCAAAUGUUUCACCGUUUGUUAUUAAGAAAAUUAUUGACCACACCUGCGGCGGUGAACUUCUUUUUGCAAAGAAGACCCGCGACGGAAAUUUAUUAAUCAAAACUAAGAAUGGAACACAAGCCCAAAAAUUGCGGGACAAGUCACAAUACCUACCGGAAUGCGCACUACGGUACUCCGUACCUCACCGUCUCCCUAUUGGUGAACAUCUACCACAACUUCUUUGGGCCAACUGUUUCGCUUUGCCCUUCUCGUCUGCAAUGAAAACAAUUUCCUGCACGGCAAUCGAAUCUGGCGGCGGAUGGAAUCAUUUGGUAAGUGUUGGUAGAUAUUAUCUAAUCCAUCUUUUCCAGAAUUAAUGGGCUGUUUGGCUCCAAAUUCGGACUCCUUUGGCAAGCGUGGCACCGUUUUGAAUUUCGCUGUCUCGUUCACUCAUUCCAUCAGAGUGGCCGAAUAGGAAAUAGAUCGUUGUGACAGCCUCCGAGCCUGACGAUUCCAGUGAUACGUAUACCAUCAGGCGGCAAGGUUUCCGUUCGAAUAGAUCGUACCAAUCUUUCCUAUACACCGCCCAGAUGCGGUUAGUCUGACG